GACUCCGCUCCAGGAACACCAAGUGAAGGACAGCAGCCUUCAGCCUUGACCCCAGACCUUAGCCCGCCAGAACCUGGGCUCCCUAAAGCAAAAGCGGGCCCCCCAUUGUGUACCAGAGUGUGGGGUGGGGAAUGCCCACACCCCAAGGGCCCCCAGGUUAAAGGCAAGAGACUGGGGCUGUUGGGGAAGUUGCCCAGGCUGAGGGGCCGGGGCUGGCAGAGACAUGGGGCUGCUGCUGCUGCUGCCGCUGCUCCCAGGCUGGGGCUGCGCUGCAGGCUCCGAGCUGACCUUCGUGCAGGAGCCGGGGAACAUGGUUGCUGUUUGGGAGCACCCACUGGUGCUGCCCUGCCAAGUGGAGGGUGAGCCACCGUGUCCAUUUCCUGGCAGUGGGAUGGGCUGGCCUUAGCCAAUGACAGUGGUGCCACCCUGAUGCCAGAUGGCUCCCUACACCUGGCCACCCUGCCCUCCCGCUGGAGCCUCCCUUCCAGUGCCCACGAGUACCACUGCAUGGCCCACAACUGCUAUGGGCGGCUGGUGAACCGACGGGCCCAGGUACAGCUGGCAAGCCUGUCCCGCUUCCACCAACAUCCAGAGGCCGUCGAGGGGAGCAGGGUGGAGUUGCUUGCUUCCAGUGUCUGAUCCAGGGGGUGCCCGAACCCUCC
This is a long non-coding RNA of Saimiri boliviensis boliviensis (Bolivian squirrel monkey), 662 nucleotides long. RefSeq lists it as uncharacterized. The record is from RefSeq and is a predicted model, not a curated record. Lineage: Eukaryota; Metazoa; Chordata; Mammalia; Primates; Cebidae.